AGAGAGAGACAUGCGCGCAUAUCAAUAAGCGGAGGAAAAGAAACUAACUAAGGAUUCCCUCAGUAGCAGCGAGUGAAGCGGGAAGAGCUCAAAUUUGAAAUCUUCAAGGUUCUACCUUGACGAAUUGUAGUUUAUAGAAGUGUUUUCUGUUAGAGUUUCGGUAAAAGUUCUUUGGAAUAGGACAUCAUAGAGGGUGAGAAUCCCGUAUUUGGUCAUUCCUCCUAGCGUUGUGAUACGCUUUCAACGAGUCGGAUUGUUUGGGAAUGCAGUCCAAAAUGGGUGGUAAAUUUCAUCUAAAGCUAAAUAUUGGCGAGAGACCGUUAGCGAACAAGUACCGUGAGGGAAAGAUGAAAAGAACUUUGAAAAGAGAGUUAAACAGUACGUGAAAUUGUCAAAAGGGAAGCGUUUGACACCAGUGUUGUUUCUCCGAAAAUCAAUUACGAAUGUUUUAUUUUUGAGGAGUUAUGACUUCAUCGGCUUGCUCCUUUCUUUAUGAAACUUUCUUAAUGCACUUUUCGGUUAACAAGUCAACAUCAAUUUCUUUUGUUGUAAAAGGGUAUGAGGAAGGUGGCUUUCUUUUCGGAGAAAGUGUUUAUAGCCUUGUGCCUCUGCAAUCGGAGAGAUUGAGGUCUGCAGCGUAGAUCCUUCGGGGUUAGAUACGUUUGUGCUAAGUUAUAGCUUUUCAUAGACAACUUGUUGACUAUGUUUAGUCUUGUAGCUUACUCGCUGACGCUAUUUUACCUACGCUUAGGAUGUUGAUAGUCACAGCGUGUAC
This 775-nucleotide ribosomal RNA is filed under the name uncultured Neocallimastigales. RNAcentral describes it as "partial large subunit ribosomal RNA". It matches the Rfam family "Eukaryotic large subunit ribosomal RNA", at positions 23 to 641 of the family's 3401-position model. Lineage: Eukaryota; Fungi; Neocallimastigomycota; Neocallimastigomycetes; Neocallimastigales. The record is from RNAcentral.